RNAcentral lists this ribosomal RNA (253 nucleotides) under uncultured bacterium. RNAcentral describes it as "partial 16S ribosomal RNA". It matches the Rfam family "Bacterial small subunit ribosomal RNA", at positions 524 to 776 of the family's 1533-position model. The record is from RNAcentral.
UACGUAGGGCGCAAGCGUUGUCCGGAAUUAUUGGGCGUAAAGAGCUCGUAGGCGGUCUGUCACGUCGGAUGUGAAAGCCCGGGGCUUAACCCCGGGUCUGCAUUCGAUACGGGCAGACUAGAGUGUGGUAGGGGAGAUCGGAAUUCCUGGUGUAGCGGUGAAAUGCGCAGAUAUCAGGAGGAACACCGGUGGCGAAGGCGGAUCUCUGGGCCAUUACUGACGCUGAGGAGCGAAAGCGUGGGGAGCAAACAGG